This 393-nucleotide ribosomal RNA is filed under the name Pseudomyrmex aff. flavicornis-a MAS-2013. RNAcentral describes it as "eukaryotic LSU rRNA". The record is from RNAcentral. Lineage: Eukaryota; Metazoa; Arthropoda; Insecta; Hymenoptera; Formicidae.
UCAUCUAGGCUAGAUACGACCAUGAGACCGAUACCGUGAAGAAAAGUUGAAAAGUACUUUGAAGAGUUAACGAGUACGUGAAACCGUUCAGAGGUAAACCUAAGAAACCCAAAAAAUCGAACGGGGAGAUUCAUCGUCAACGAAACUGGCUUCGCGUCGGUGGGCGAUAACCCCGUGGUGUGUCCUAAGCGGCACGCGCGUGCGGGCACGCUACCGAACGCCGAUGUCCGGUUUUCGUCGUCGUGCACUUCUCUCCUAGUAGAACGUCGCGACUCGCUGUGUGUCGGUCACCGACCCGGGUGCGGUUACUGUCACGUCGCCCGUAAAAACGGCGCGCGGCAAACACCCCCGGUCGCCCGACCAGCUGCCCGGCGGUACACGUACGUAUCAGGC